Non-coding RNA from Heterocephalus glaber (naked mole-rat), 46 nucleotides. The record is from Rfam. Lineage: Eukaryota; Metazoa; Chordata; Mammalia; Rodentia; Bathyergidae.
CAAAAGGCUCUUUUAAGAGCCACCUACUAUGCAGAAACAGCUGUAA